CCGGGCACCAAACGGGACCGUCCUAAGGUGUCCCCGAAGAUCUGCGGGGGACAGGAGGGAGUAAGCGAGAAGAAUCCCAAAGACCGGACGGCAGCCUCGGACUCCCCAGCCUCCUGGACCUCGGCCUUCCGUACAAGAUGAGCUGGCUGUCAUGUUCCUGUGUGCAUCUGGGUAUGUUGUCCUCUGCACAGACAUCAACAACUGAGUGAGCCCAGUUCAAAUACAUGACUCCAAGAUUCAUCUCCUCUAGACUAGCAUCUGUGCUGAUCUAGAUGGCUUAUCUGGCAGGGUGACCGCAGACUCAAAGCCCUGGUGACCCCGCCCAUUUACAGUAAAAAUGAAGUAUGGGAAGACCAACAGAGAUCACAUUACAUCACAGUUUCCUCUAUGCCCUCUGCACAGCAGUUUUACCUCCUCAAAAUGAACAAAGUGAAUUGUACUGGGCAGUAUGGUAUGUUCUCUUCUUUGCCUGAUAAGUCUGCUGAUGUUAGAAACCCAAGGUGACAGACAGCAACAAACA
Long non-coding RNA from Ochotona princeps (American pika), 520 nucleotides. RefSeq lists it as uncharacterized. The record is from RefSeq and is a predicted model, not a curated record. NCBI's taxonomy places the organism in Eukaryota, Metazoa, Chordata, Mammalia, Lagomorpha, Ochotonidae. The transcript has 3 exons.